CCUAAAGGCGCAAUGAAAGUAAAGGUCGUCCUUGUGUCGACUGAGGGAGGAUGAGUUACAUUACGAUGUCGGCUCCGCACUCCCGGGGCGUCUCAUUCUCAUUAUGAGAAGAGGCGCACCUAGAGCGUACACGUUGGGACCCGAAAGAUGGUGAACUAUGCCUGGUCAGGAUGAAGUCAGGGGAAACCCUGAUGGAGGUCCGUAGCGAUUCUGACGUGCAAAUCGAUCGUCGGAACUGGGUAUAGGGGCGAAAGACUAAUCGAACCAUCUAGUAGCUGGUUCCCUCCGAAGUUUCCCUCAGGAUAGCUGGCACUCGUUAUAUAAUAAUAUAUUAUAAACGAGUCUCAUCUGGUAAAGCGAAUGAUUAGAGGCCUUGGGGUCGAAACGACCUCAACCUAUUCUCAAACUUUAAAUGGGUGAGAUCUCUGGCUUGCUUGGAUUUUAUAUUUUUAUUAAUGUAAUUAUGAAGCCAUGAGAUUUCGGAUCAGAGUGCCAAGUGG
This 500-nucleotide ribosomal RNA is filed under the name Planitorus sp. BJS-2011. Its description in RNAcentral is "eukaryotic LSU rRNA". It matches the Rfam family "Eukaryotic large subunit ribosomal RNA", at positions 707 to 1129 of the family's 3401-position model. The record is from RNAcentral. Lineage: Eukaryota; Metazoa; Arthropoda; Insecta; Hymenoptera; Braconidae.